CCGGCACGGUGAGUAACGCGUAUGCAACUUGCCUAUCAGAGGGGGAUAACCCGGCGAAAGUCGGACUAAUACCGCAUGAAGCAGGGGCCCCGCAUGGGGAUAUUUGCUAAAGAUUCAUCGCUGAUAGAUAGGCAUGCGUCCCAUUAGGCAGUUGGCGGGGUAACGGCCCACCAAACCGACGAUGGAUAGGGGUUCUGAGAGGAAGGUCCCCCACAUUGGUACUGAGACACGGACCAA
This 237-nucleotide ribosomal RNA is filed under the name uncultured bacterium. RNAcentral describes it as "partial 16S ribosomal RNA". It matches the Rfam family "Bacterial small subunit ribosomal RNA", at positions 105 to 334 of the family's 1533-position model. The record is from RNAcentral.